This is a long non-coding RNA of Uranotaenia lowii, 371 nucleotides long. RefSeq lists it as uncharacterized. The record is from RefSeq and is a predicted model, not a curated record. NCBI's taxonomy places the organism in Eukaryota, Metazoa, Arthropoda, Insecta, Diptera, Culicidae. The transcript is spliced from 3 exons.
UUUGAACUAUCAAAAUUAAAAUUAGACUUUUGGGUCUAUGAUUUACACGAACUGCCUAUUUCGCAAUCAUCUGGUGAUCGGAACAGCAUCGUGUCACUCAGUGUAACUCACUGCAGUAUUUUAGGUUAAUGGUCACUCACUUUGAGAUGACAACAUCGAAAUGUAAACAAAGUUUAUUGAUAAAUUGGAUCCAAUGUUUUGAAUUUUUCUUUUUUCAUAGUCACCGGUGCUUCAAUUUGGUGUAUUUUCAGGCUAGAACUGCGGUGAGGAAGAAUUCGGAAGGUUAAAACCGAUUUUCCAGAAAAUCACCAGUCUUCACACCUCAUAGACCCUCGGUCGAGAUGGAAGGGAAUCAACAGUGAAUUAAGGGU